Molecule: ribosomal RNA, 463 nt
Filed under: uncultured bacterium
Lineage: Bacteria
Description: partial 16S ribosomal RNA
Rfam family: Bacterial small subunit ribosomal RNA
Source: RNAcentral
GAUGAACGCUGACAGAAUGCUUAACACAUGCAAGUCUUUGGUGAAGCUGUGCUUGCACAGCCUAGCCAAGGCGGACGGGUGAGUAACGCGUAAGGAACUUGCCCUGCAGUCAGGGAUAACAGACGGAAACGACUGAUAAGACCUGGUAAAGUCAGGCGGACUCAUGUCCAGCCUGAUGAAAAGAGAUGCUGCAGGAGAGCCUUGCGUCCUAUUAGCUUGUUGGUGGGGUAACGGCCCACCAAGGCAAUGAUAGGUAGCCGGCCUGAGAGGGUGGACGGCCACAAGGGGACUGAGAUACGGCCCUUACUCCUACGGGAGGCAGCAGUGGGGAAUAUUGGACAAUGGGGGCAACCCUGAUCCAGCAAUUCUGUGUGCACGAUGAAGGUUUUCGGAUUGUAAAGUGCUUUCAGCAGGGAAGAAAAAAAUGACGGUACCUGCAGAAGAAGCGACGGCUAAAUACGUG